ACUCCUACGGGAGGCAGCAGUGGGGAAUAUUGCACAAUGGGCGCAAGCCUGAUGCAGCCAUGCCGCGUGUGUGAAGAAGGCCUUCGGGUUGUAAAGCACUUUUCAGUCGUGAGGAAGGUAGUGUAGUUAAUAGCUGCAUUAUUUGACGUUAGCGACAGAAGAAGCACCGGCUAACUCCGUGCCAGCAGCCGCGGUAAUACGGAGGGUGCGAGCGUUAAUCGGAAUUACUGGGCGUAAAGCGCAUGCAGGUGGUUUGUUAAGUCAGAUGUGAAAGCCCGGGGCUCAACCUCGGAAUUGCAUUUGAAACUGGCAGACUAGAGUACUGUAGAGGGGGGUAGAAUUUCAGGUGUAGCGGUGAAAAUGCGUAGAGAUACUGAAGGAAGUACCGGUGGCGAAGGCGGCCCCCUGGACAGAUACUGACACUCAGAUGCG
RNAcentral lists this ribosomal RNA (432 nucleotides) under uncultured bacterium. RNAcentral's name for it is "bacterial SSU rRNA". It matches the Rfam family "Bacterial small subunit ribosomal RNA", at positions 335 to 755 of the family's 1533-position model. The record is from RNAcentral.